Molecule: transfer RNA, 69 nt
Filed under: Heterocephalus glaber (naked mole-rat)
Lineage: Eukaryota; Metazoa; Chordata; Mammalia; Rodentia; Bathyergidae
Rfam family: tRNA
About the family: Transfer RNA (tRNA) molecules are approximately 80 nucleotides in length. Their secondary structure includes four short double-helical elements and three loops (D, anti-codon, and T loops).
Source: Rfam by way of RNAcentral
GGGGAUAUAGCUCAGUGGUAGAGCAUUUGCCUGGGAGGCAUGAGGCUCUGGGUUCAAUGUCCAGCACCA